AAUAGAUACCCAGGUAGUCCACGCCGUAAACGUUGGGCGCUAGGUGUGGGACUCAUUCCACGAGUUCCGUGCCGCAGCUAACGCAUUAAGCGCCCCGCCUGGGGAGUACGGCCGCAAGGCUAAAACUCAAAGGGGAUUGACGGGGGGCCCGCACAAGCGGCGGAGCAUGUGGAUUAAUUCGAUGCAACGCGAAGAACCUUACCAAGGCUUGACAUAUACCGGAAACACUCAGAGAUGGGUGCCCCGCAAGGUCGGUAUACAGGUGGUGCAUGGUUGUCGUCAGCUCGUGUCGUGAGAUGUUGGGUUAAGUCCCGCAACGAGCGCAACCCUCGUUCUAUGUUGCCAGCGCGUUAUGGCGGGGACUCAUAGAAGACUGCCGGGGUCAACUCGGAGGAAGGUGGGGAUGACGUCAAAUCAUCAUGCCCCUUAUGUCUUGGGCUUCACACAUGCUACAAUGGCCGGUACAAAGGGCUGCGAAACCGCAAGGUGGAGCGAAUCCCAAAAACCGGUCUCAGUUCGGAUUGGGGU
This 528-nucleotide ribosomal RNA is filed under the name uncultured bacterium. RNAcentral describes it as "bacterial SSU rRNA". It matches the Rfam family "Bacterial small subunit ribosomal RNA", at positions 777 to 1304 of the family's 1533-position model. The record is from RNAcentral.